GACGAACGCUGGCGGCGUGCUUAACACAUGCAAGUCGAACGGAAAGGCCCUGCUUUUGUGGGGUGCUCGAGUGGCGAACGGGUGAGUAACAUGUGAGUAACCUGCCCUUGACUUUGGGAUAACUUCAGGAAACUGGGGCUAAUACCGGAUAGGAGCUCCUGCUGCAUGGUGGGGGUUGGAAAGUUUCGGCGGUUGGGGAUGGACUCGCGGCUUAUCAGCUUGUUGGUGGGGUAGUGGCUUACCAAGGCUUUGACGGGUAGCCGGCCUGAGAGGGUGACCGGCCACAUUGGGACUGAGAUACGGCUCAGACUCCUACGGGAGGCAGCAGUGGGGAAUAUUGCACAAUGGGCGGAAGCCUGAUGCAGCAACGCCGCGUGCGGGAUGACGGCCUUCGGGUUGUAAACCGCUUUCGCCUGUGACGAAGCGUGAGUGACGGUAAUGGGUAAAGAAGCACCGGCUAACUACGUG
RNAcentral lists this ribosomal RNA (468 nucleotides) under uncultured bacterium. RNAcentral describes it as "partial 16S ribosomal RNA". It matches the Rfam family "Bacterial small subunit ribosomal RNA", at positions 28 to 507 of the family's 1533-position model. The record is from RNAcentral.